RNAcentral lists this transfer RNA (39 nucleotides) under Cereus hildmannianus. RNAcentral's name for it is "partial tRNA-Thr". RNAcentral also lists the same sequence under 4 other names. Lineage: Eukaryota; Viridiplantae; Streptophyta; Magnoliopsida; Caryophyllales; Cactaceae. The record is from RNAcentral.
AGCCCGCUUAGCUCAGAGGUUAGAGCAUCGCAUUUGUAA